Long non-coding RNA from Eriocheir sinensis (Chinese mitten crab), 1399 nucleotides. RefSeq lists it as uncharacterized. NCBI's taxonomy places the organism in Eukaryota, Metazoa, Arthropoda, Malacostraca, Decapoda, Varunidae. The record is from RefSeq and is a predicted model, not a curated record. The transcript has 3 exons.
AAUUAUGGGCGAUUAGGGAACGUAGGUUAAGCGUAUAAUUCCGUCAGUUUUCGUUAUUCAUUUCUUUUCAAUCGUUUUUGUUGUUGUAAGUCUAUUUUAUUGUGUGUUUUCUUAUCAUUAUUAUUCGGUUUUGUCUUCCAUCGCUUUUCAUUAAUGUAGAUUUGGCUGUUGUUAUUGUCAUCCCUUUAACUUGACAACGGGAAAGUUUAGGCGAAUUGAUCACGUAUAUACACAUUUAUCGCGCACAGAAUAAGAGACAAAGAGAAGUAAGAAGCUAAUGAAGAGACUCAGGGUGAAGAAAAGACGGAAAACAACUGAAAACAGACAAAAACAACGAAACUAAAAGGGAGAAGCUACACGGGACCAUUUCCAGUAUCCCAGCACAGGCUCAAGGGGCAAUGCGACGGAGAUGAGCACCGAGGCCACGCGCAGCUGUAGCGUAUGCCCCCAAAUAAUUAUUGAUAAACAGAUAACUGAAUACGACAGUGAAGAAAAACAGGAAAAAGUGAAGGAAAAACAGGAAAAUGUGUAUAAAAAGACAGGAUAAAAGUGAAAGAAAACAGGAAAAAGUGUAGAAAACCAGGAAAAAUUGUAGAAAACCAGGAAAAAUUGUAGAAAACCAGGAAAAAGUGUAGAAAACCAGGAAAAAGUGUAGAAAACCAGGAAAAAAUGUAGAAAACCAGGAAAAAGUGUAGAAAACCAGGAAAAAAGUGUUGAAAACCAGGAAAAUAUUGUAGAAACCCAGGAAAAAAUGUAGAAAACCAGGAAAAAGUGUAGAAAACCAGAAAAAGUGUAGAAAACCAGAAAAAGUUUAGAAUACCAGGAAAAAGUGUAGAAAACCAGAAAAAAGUGUAGAAAACCAGGAAAAAGUGUAGAAAACCAGGAAAAAGUGUAGAAAACCAGGAAAAAGUGUAGAAAACCAGAAAAAAGUGUAGAAAACCAGAAAAAAGUGUAGAAAACCAGGAAAAAGUGUAGAAAACCAGGAAAAAAUUGUAGAAAAUCGGGAAAAAGUGUAGAAAACCAGGAAAAAGUGUAGAAAACCAGAAAAAAGUGCAGAAAACCGAAGAAAAUAGUGGAAAAUAACAGGAAAAGUAAAAUAUAAUAGAAAAAAGCAGUAAUAAAUUGAAUAGUAUGUGAAUGAUCUGUUAAAUCCUAUGCUACGAAUGAGUGCAGUAGCUAAUUCAGGUCUAUACCAAACUCCUACUAAAGGUCUGAACUGGAUUAACCUGGAUUGGACAAGGAAGGACUUCACGUUCAACCCAUUCAGUUUAAUUAAGGCUUGACGACCGACGGGCUGACUUUCUAUCAACACGGGCGAUCCUUCCUCCCUUCUUCAUCCCUGUGGCUGGUAGAUAGAGGCAUGACGAUUACUACUAUACAACGAAGAAGACUUGUAAGU